This 875-nucleotide long non-coding RNA is filed under the name Coffea arabica (coffee). RNAcentral's name for it is "long non-coding RNA (CARA_LNC002852)". The record is from RNAcentral. Lineage: Eukaryota; Viridiplantae; Streptophyta; Magnoliopsida; Gentianales; Rubiaceae.
UUCGAAUAGUGUGAGUAGUUAUGUGGCGAUCCCACCUCGCCUUAGGACGAACCCUAGGGUUUAAUAGAUCACAUGUCUGACUCUCGUCAGGACUCACUCACUCACAUUAAUUUCAGAGAUAACAUUUAUAUAGACUAAACUAUUAAUAAACCAUUUACUCUCAAGUACGUUCUCCAUCAAAAACAAAACUGUCUUAAACUAUUUAACAUGUACAUCUCUCAAAACAAAGUUUGCACAGUUUUAACGUUAAGUACAAAUUCACCUAAGCACACAUUCAAGUCUCCAACUAAUACUACCGGCUUCUUCUCACCCCGUCCUCCACUCCUAUAAGGAAAAUAACUAAAGGGGUUGAGUUAAUGCCCAAUGAGGUUUCACGUAAAUUCAAUGGAAUCAUAGAACUCACAUUUCAACAAUAAAACAUGUUUCAUAAUGAUUAACAUUCUAAAACAUGUUAAUGUAAUAGGAAUAACAAAUCAAUUAAUAUCAAAGGAUACGGAACUGAUACAGACUCUGGAGGUGGCUCCCGUUUAUUUUUAGACGUAGCACUUAGCUUCGUUCAGUAAUUCAAUGUCAUUUCCCCAGUUAAACAGUAACCAAUAUUUUUCGUUCUUCUAGUGUUCAAUGAUCACCUCAAUAGGUCACACUCGAGUAUACCAUUAAACGGUACCCAAGCACAAUCGACCUACUUGACCGAACCCGUUGUUGGCUCGAAUAGGCCGACCAUCGAUGGGAUUUGGGUCCAAAACGGUCAUGCACAGUUAACAGUAACAGUUUCAAAAGUCAUUAGCUUGAGUGCAAUGAAGUAGCACUUGUUUUCAGUAAAAUAGUGGCAAUUGCCAAUUUUUCACUCUAAACAAUUCAAACGUCAAUAAUCC